RNAcentral lists this ribosomal RNA (174 nucleotides) under Klebsiella pneumoniae. Its description in RNAcentral is "partial 23S ribosomal RNA". It matches the Rfam family "Bacterial large subunit ribosomal RNA", at positions 2757 to 2925 of the family's 2925-position model. The record is from RNAcentral. Lineage: Bacteria; Pseudomonadati; Pseudomonadota; Gammaproteobacteria; Enterobacterales; Enterobacteriaceae.
GGAAGAGAUAAGUGCUGAAAGCAUCUAAGCACGAAACUUGCCCCGAGAUGAGUUCUCCCUGAGACUUUAAGUCUCCUGAAGGAACGUUGAAGACGACGACGUUGAUAGGCCGGGUGUGUAAGCGCAGUGAUGCGUUGAGCUAACCGGUACUAAUGAACCGUGAGGCUUAACCUU